Molecule: ribosomal RNA, 498 nt
Filed under: uncultured bacterium
Lineage: Bacteria
Description: bacterial SSU rRNA
Rfam family: Bacterial small subunit ribosomal RNA
Source: RNAcentral
GAGUUUGAUCAUGGCUCAGGAUGAACGCUGGCGGCGUGCUUAACACAUGCAAGUCGAGCGAAGCACUCUGUCCGGAUUCUUUCGGGAUGACGGACUUAGUGACUGAGCGGCGGACGGGUGAGUAACGCGUGGGUAACCUGCCCUUGAGAGGGGGAUAACGUCUGGAAACGGACGCUAAUACCGCAUAAAAUUAUCCAGUCGCAUGGCAGGAUAAUCAAAGGAGCAAUCCGCUGAAGGAUGGACUCGCGUCCGAUUAGAUAGUUGGUGAGGUAAAGGCUCACCAAGUCGACGAUCGGUAGCCGGACUGAGAGGUUGAACGGCCACAUUGGGACUGAGACACGGCCCAGACUCCUACGGGAGGCAGCAGUGGGGGAUAUUGCACAAUGGGCGAAAGCCUGAUGCAGCAACGCCGCGUGAGGGAAGACGGUUUUUCGGAUUGUAAACCUCUGUUCUAAGUGACGAAGAAUGACGGUAGCUUAGGAGGAAGCCCCGGCUAAC